CACUGUAUUCCCCUUUGUAAUAUAUUACCGAAAGCCUUUAUUCAUUCCAGCUUGUUAGAGUUGGAGAAGAAGCUUAUGCCUCACUUUUCAAAGCGUCAAAAGCUGCAAUGAAGUAAGUCUACAAUGCGGUGCUGAGAAAGGAGUUGGACCUGACUGAAUUUGGACAUAUUAUUAGCCGAUGUAGGGAUCUGACCGGUCCAAAUCUCGAUCUUCGUUGUGCUAG
RNAcentral lists this long non-coding RNA (223 nucleotides) under Linum usitatissimum (flax). RNAcentral describes it as "long non-coding RNA (LUSI_LNC000411)". Lineage: Eukaryota; Viridiplantae; Streptophyta; Magnoliopsida; Malpighiales; Linaceae. The record is from RNAcentral.